ACAUUAAUGUUAAAUAAAUAACAAAUUUAACUAUAAAAUACACACACACAAAUAAAAACCAAAACCAAAACCAAAACAAAAAUAUAAAUAACUGGAGUUUAAGGAUAUCUAUACCUGGCUGUGGCCCCGACGCAUCAGUGGAUGUGGUGUCGGUAGUGCUGGCGGGCCGAUGACGCCGUCUGGCGCUAACAGGCUGUGCCACUGAUGAAGCUGAUGAAGCAGGCGCCUGGGACCCCGCGGGACCAACUGCCAAGUGGUCCAUCAGUGCUAGCGUAGUGGCAGCAGAUGUCGGGUGAGCCGAGGGCUCCGAACUCUGCGUAGUCGUCACCGCCCUACGACGUCUAAUCAGGUCUGACAUCUG
Molecule: long non-coding RNA, 361 nt
Filed under: Prunus persica (peach)
Lineage: Eukaryota; Viridiplantae; Streptophyta; Magnoliopsida; Rosales; Rosaceae
Description: long non-coding RNA (PPER_LNC002509)
Source: RNAcentral